RNAcentral lists this ribosomal RNA (1711 nucleotides) under metagenome. Its description in RNAcentral is "bacterial LSU rRNA". It matches the Rfam family "Bacterial large subunit ribosomal RNA", at positions 838 to 2612 of the family's 2925-position model. The record is from RNAcentral.
UUGGGAGAUAUCUCGUUCUCCUCGAAAUAGUUUUUGGGCUAGCCUCACUAAAUUGCCCGCAGGGGUAGAGCUACUGGAUGGUGUUGAGGGGCCGCGAGCCUGCUCAUGCCAACCAAACUCCGAAUACUGCGGAUUGCAUAGUGGGAGUCAGACUGUGGGCGAUAAUGUUCAUAGUCAAAAGGGAAACAACCCAGACCACCAGCUAAGGUCCCAAAUUAAGUCUCAGUUCUUAAGGAAGUCAGGGUGCAGUGACAACCAGGAUGUUGGCUUAGAAGCAGCCACCAUUUAAACAACGCGUAAUAGCGGACUGGUCGAGGACUCUGGCGCCGAUAAUGAUCGGGAAUCAAGACUUAAACCGAAGCUGUGGGCUCCGUAAGGAGCGGUAGAGGAGCGUUGCUGCCAGCGUCGAAGCGAGAUCUUAAGGUCUCGUGGAGCGGUAGCAAGUGCGUAUGCCGGCUUGAGUAACGAUAAAACAGGUGAAAAUCCUGUUCGCCGUAAACCUAAGGUUUCCUGGGGAAGGUAAAUCCGCCCAGGGUUAGUCGGUACCUAAGGAGAGGCCGAAAGGCGUAUUCGAUGGACAGCAGGUUAAUAUUCCUGCACCGUGUUAAAGGGUUGAAGCAGCGUGACGGACUUUCGGAGUGAGUCGCACGAUUAGACGUGUGCGUCUCGAAGGAGCGAGGGCUCGAUCCCGAAGCUCACGAAGAAAGUCUCAAGAAAUAGCGUCUGUGGACUGAUAACACGUCCGUACUAAAACUGACACAGGUAGGUGGGGUGAAUAACCUCAGGCGCUCGAGAGAACAGUCGUGAAGGAACUAGGCAAAUUAACCCCGUAAGUUAGCGAUAAGGGGGCCCUCCUCGCUUCGGCGAGAGGGCGCAGAGAAAAGGCUCUGGGAACUGUUUAUCAAAAACACAGGACUGUGCCAACUCUUAUAGAGGAAGUAUACAGUCUGACGCGUGCUCGAUGCUGGAAUGUCAAGGAAGCAGGUCAGCCGCAAGGCGAAGCUUGCGACUUAAGCACCAGUCAAUGGCGGCCGUAACUCUGACGGUCCUAAGGUAGCGAAGUUCCUUGUCGGGUAAGUUCCGACGCGCAUGAAUCGCGUAAUCACUGGAGCACUGUCUCCACGACUGACUCGGUGAAAUAGAUGACGCGGUGUAGAUACCGUGUACCCGCAGCAAGACGGAAAGACCCCGUGCACCUUUACUGUAGGCUGGUAUUGGCCACGAAUACGUUCUGCGUAGGAUAGGUGGGAGGCUUCGAAGCUCUGGUUUUGGCCAGAGUGGAGCCGCCGUUGAAAUACCACCCUGAAUGUUUUUGUGACCUAACCUUGAUCCGUGAAACCGGACAAGGGACCGUGCUAGCUGGGCAGUUUGACUGGGGCGGCCUCCUCCCAAAAAGUAACGGAGGAGUGCAAAGGUUAGCUCAGCACAGUUGGAAACUGUGCGUUGAAUGCAAGAGUAUAAGCUAGCUUUACUGCGAGACGUACAUGUCAAGCAGUUACGAAAGUAGGCUCUAGUGAUCCGGCGAUCCCGUGUGGGAGGGUCGUCGCUCAACGGAUAAAAGGUACGCCGGGGAUAACAGGCUGAUCGCGCCCGAGCGUCCAUAGCGGCGGCGCGGUUUGGCACCUCUAUGUCGGCUCAUCACAUCCUGGGGCUGAAGUCGGUCCCAAGGGUUGGGCUGUUCGCCCAUUAAAGUGGUACGCGAGCUGGGUUC